This 448-nucleotide ribosomal RNA is filed under the name uncultured bacterium. RNAcentral describes it as "bacterial SSU rRNA". It matches the Rfam family "Bacterial small subunit ribosomal RNA", at positions 330 to 793 of the family's 1533-position model. The record is from RNAcentral.
UCCAGACUCCUACGGGAGGCAGCAGUGGGGAAUAUUGGGCAAUGGGCGCAAGCCUGACCCAGCAACGCCGCGUGAAGGAAGAAGGCUUUCGGGUUGUAAACUUCUUUUCUCAGGGACGAAGCAAGUGACGGUACCUGAGGAAUAAGCCACGGCUAACUACGUGCCAGCAGCCGCGGUAAUACGGAGGAUGCGAGCGUUAUCCGGAUUUAUUGGGUUUAAAGGGUGCGUAGGCGGAAUAUCAAGUCAGCGGUAAAAAUUCGGGGCUCAACCCCGUCGUGCCGUUGAAACUGAUGUUCUUGAGUGGGCGAGAAGUAUGCGGAAUGCGUGGUGUAGCGGUGAAAUGCAUAGAUAUCACGCAGAACCCCGAUUGCGAAGGCAGCAUACCGGUGCACAACUGACGCUCAGGCACGAAAGCGUGGGUAUCGAACAGGAUUAGAUACCCCAGUAA